Molecule: long non-coding RNA, 748 nt
Organism: Mustela lutreola (European mink)
Lineage: Eukaryota; Metazoa; Chordata; Mammalia; Carnivora; Mustelidae
Exons: 3
Source: RefSeq, a predicted model, not a curated record
GGUUUUGUUGAUGAUUUCUUUAAUUUUCAGGGAAAAAACUUCUGAAAAUAUAACCAAUACACUCAUCGUUGGUGAGACUCAGAGGCGAGGCCCUAUACACAGAUUAUCAAUACAUGUAUAAAGUUGAGCCCCUACCGAAUGCUUUCACACCAAGACUGUUAGCCCAAUGGAAGUUGGCUGUGUGGAUACUCUUGAGGACCACAAGAGGUCUUGUUUCUUUAAAAAAACAAAACCAAACAAAACAAACCAUUAAGGGCCCAUGUGAAUUGGGGAAUAUGAAGAUACCAAAAAAACAGAAAUAGAGGGAGUUGUCCUGGACAGACCCCAAACUGAGAAGAGUGAAAUAAUGGAUUUUUCCUUUCAGCACAUUGUCUCAUAUGAGAAGAAUGAAAGAUAACUGAUAAGCAACUUCCAGCAAGAAGACAUAUAACUUAUAUUCUGAUUGGUUACUAGUGAUUUGAAUCUAUGCAGAUGUAUCUAAUGCUAACAUAUGUAUGUAUAGUAUAUGUAUUUAUAUGACUAGUCAUAGACUUGAAGCAUUUUUUUUCAUAUUACUAAAGACUUGGCACUAAGUGCCAGUUUGCAAAAAUAUUUUACUUCCUUUUCCAUUAAUUUUAAUUGGCCUGAAUGGAACUCAUUUCAAGUUCCCCUAUUCUUGUUUUUGUGAGAGGCAUUACUUUUUUCUCUCUGUGAGUGUAUCUUUAUUACCUAUAUUGUUUGGUGCUCUUGAAUAAAGGAGAUUUGACAC